RNAcentral lists this ribosomal RNA (593 nucleotides) under Morchella dunalii. RNAcentral describes it as "partial 28S ribosomal RNA". It matches the Rfam family "Eukaryotic large subunit ribosomal RNA", at positions 1 to 609 of the family's 3401-position model. RNAcentral also lists the same sequence under 1 other name. Lineage: Eukaryota; Fungi; Ascomycota; Pezizomycetes; Pezizales; Morchellaceae. The record is from RNAcentral.
UUGACCUCGGAUCAGGUAGGGAUACCCGCUGAACUUAAGCGCGGAGGAAAAGAAACCAACAGGGAUUGCCUCAGUAACGGCGAGUGAAGCGGCAAAAGCUCAAAUUUUAAAGCUGGCAUCUUCGGUGUCCGCGUUGUAAUUUUGUGAGGCAUCUCCGGGUAGGGCGCCGGCCUAAGUUCCUUGGAACAGGACGUCACAGAGGGUGAGAAUCCCGUGCUUGGCUGGCUGUCCCCGUCCAUGUGAGGUGUCUUCGACGAGUCGAGUUGUUUGGGAAUGCAGCUCAAAAUGGGUGGUAAAUUUCAUCUAAAGCUAAAUAUUGGUGGGAGACCGAUAGCGCACAAGUAGAGUGAUCGAAAGAUGAAAAGCACUUUGAAAAUAGAGUUAAAAAGUACGUGAAAUUGUUGAAAGGGAAGCGCUUGAGACCAGACUUCGGUAGGGGGUGAUCAGCCGUCCUUCUGGGCGGUGCACUUGCCCCCCUCCGGGCCAGCAUCGGUUGAGGCGGCGGGAUAAAGGUCCCGGGAAUGUGACUCCUCUCAAGGGAGUGUUUAUAGCCCGGGUGAAUGCCGCCAGCCCCGACCGAGGACCGCGCCCGC